AUUGAACGCUGGCGGCAGGCCUAACACAUGCAAGUCGAGCGGCAGCGGAAAGUAGCUUGCUACUUUGCCGGCGAGCGGCGGACGGGUGAGUAAUGUCUGGGAAACUGCCUGAUGGAGGGGGAUAACUACUGGAAACGGUAGCUAAUACCGCAUGACCUCGAAAGAGCAAAGUGGGGGAUCUUCGGACCUCACGCCAUCGGAUGUGCCCAGAUGGGAUUAGCUAGUAGGUGAGGUAAUGGCUCACCUAGGCGACGAUCCCUAGCUGGUCUGAGAGGAUGACCAGCCACACUGGAACUGAGACACGGUCCAGACUCCUACGGGAGGCAGCAGUGGGGAAUAUUGCACAAUGGGCGCAAGCCUGAUGCAGCCAUGCCGCGUGUGUGAAGAAGGCCUUAGGGUUGUAAAGCACUUUCAGCGAGGAGGAAGGCACCAUACUUAAUACGUGUGGUGAUUGACGUUACUCGCAGAAGAAGCACCGGCUAACUCCGUGCCAGCAGCCGCGGUAAUACGGAGGGUGCAAGCGUUAAUCGGAAUUACUGGGCGUAAAGCGCACGCAGGCGGUUUGUUAAGUCAGAUGUGAAAUCCCCGCGCUUAACGUGGGAACUGCAUCUGAAACUGGCAAGCUAGAGUCUUGUAGAGGGGGGUAGAAUUCCAGGUGUAGCGGUGAAAUGCGUAGAGAUCUGGAGGAAUACCGGUGGCGAAGGCGGCCCCCUGGACAAAGACUGACGCUCAGGUGCGAAAGCGUGGGGAGCAAACAGG
Molecule: ribosomal RNA, 759 nt
Filed under: uncultured Enterobacteriaceae bacterium
Lineage: Bacteria; Pseudomonadati; Pseudomonadota; Gammaproteobacteria; Enterobacterales; Enterobacteriaceae
Description: bacterial SSU rRNA
Rfam family: Bacterial small subunit ribosomal RNA
Source: RNAcentral